CAAUAGCGUAUAUUAAAGUUGUUGCAGUUAAAAAGCUCGUAGUUGAAUUUCUGGGGGGCCCGUUGGGACCGCUUGAUUGCGCGUCCUUGACGUACUUCCCAUUCUUGUCCGGACGGCGUCGGCCUUCACUGGUUCGGCGUUCUGACGGGCGACAUUUACUGUGAAAAAAUUAGAGUGUUCAAAGCAGGCAUCCGCCCUGAAUACAUUAGCAUGGAAUAAUAAGAUAGGUUCGGUACCGAUUUUGUUUGGCCAAAGUAUCCGAAAAUGAUUAAUAGGGGCGAUUGGGGUUCUUUAUAUUCAGUUGUCAGAGGUGAAAUUCUUGGAUUUACUGAAGAUAAACUACUGCGAAAGCAUUGAACAAGGGCGCGCUCUUUAA
Molecule: ribosomal RNA, 376 nt
Filed under: uncultured eukaryote
Lineage: Eukaryota
Description: partial 18S ribosomal RNA
Rfam family: Eukaryotic small subunit ribosomal RNA
Source: RNAcentral